Molecule: RNA transcript, 854 nt
Organism: Alligator mississippiensis (American alligator)
Lineage: Eukaryota; Metazoa; Chordata; Crocodylia; Alligatoridae
Exons: 3
Source: RefSeq, a predicted model, not a curated record
GCUAGUCUGUGGAGCAUGCUCCUACCCAGAAAGGAUAAGGAAAGCUGAAUGACUAGUGAUGAGUCUUGUCCAGGGUUACCAAGGAAACAGUGUCAGAACCAAAAUGUUGACAGCUGAAUGGAAAACAAAACAUGUCCAUAGUAACCCACUUGCAUGAGUCAGAUGACCAACAGGACUUCAGUGAGCUGGAGAAGCAUAUAUGGUGUAAAACAAAUCCCCAAACCCAAAAGAUAAGCAGGACCUUGAUUAAAGCGGAACCUAAGAGUAUUUCAAAGGAAGCAGAGAUCCAACAGAAGAUAACCACAACACAAAGAGUACUGGCAGGUAUAAAUUGACAGAGAUAACUCAUUUGCUUUCCUCACAGUGUUGAGGGUAUACUGGAGGCAGGAUGGGUGAAAUUUUAAAAUAACAUCUGGAGCAAAAAAAAGUGGUAACCAUAUGAAGCGCUGUGGUGAUUCUCAGCUGUUCCUAGUGAACCAUACCCAGCCAGUGCAGCAGCUAGAUGGGCAAAAAGGCUGCUCUAACUCUGGACACAAUUACUGCUUUUCUUGUCAACUGACCACAUUUAAAAUAAGUGCAAAUAAAAGGAAACUUGUAUAGCAUUAGCAUGGUGAGCAUGUUAAUAUGCUGCACAAUGCACACGUGUUAGUGAUUUAUGAAAAUAAAAAAUGCCUUUAUAUUUAUAGUUCUUUACCAUUGUGCUUAACCAUAGUCUCAUGAUGUAGAUAUGAGAUGGGGAUAUAUGAAUGAGUCCCAGUGGGUGCAUCUACAUGUUCAUUAAUGUGUCAUACUUACUGCGCAUUUAGUUUAGUACUUCCUUAAUAAAGUACUAACUGAAUGCUAAGUAACUACAU